UUUUGCUUUCAGGGAGAACAACUGUGGAUGACCUUACUUGUCAUGGGGAGAGUGUCAAAAGCAGACUCGGGACAAAUCUGAAUCAAGUCAGCAGACCAUCAGACAUGGAGGUAAGCAUUUACGUUUCCCUGGUUGACAAAUGAAUCUGAGGCUAAAGCGACACUUGCAGACGAAAUAAAGAGGUCAUGUUGCAUCUCCAGAUGGAAGGAGACCAGAGGGCUGUUGUGUUCUAGCAGAAAUUAAUGCAAAUCCAACUAGCUGAACCAGGCAUGUCAGUUGGUAAAGAAAUGCACUUUUUUCCCCCUCUUAACAUUCAAGUGGCAAUGAAUAGAUUCUCACACUUUCAGAUGAGAGCAAUGCAGCUGAUUUGAACGUUGAGGAUGUGAAAACUUCAGGAAGUUGCUAGAAGAACUGGGAUAUCUACAGAAAGGAAACAAGCAAAACUCAUCACUGCUACCAAGAGGUGAAGGAAGUGAAUCUAUCCUUUGCUAUCAAAGGCUACAAGCAGUUUCAUAAGAAUAAAGCAAGAUACAUAACCAAAGCUUCUGAGGUUACAGAAGUAUUGACUUGUUCCAAUCAAGAAUAAGGAAACCACUUAUACCUACUAGAUUUUUAACAGUACAGCUGAUCGUAUGGAGAGAAAGAGAGAAAUAAAGCAACAGGAUUGGCUCUUAGGAGCGGUAAGCAACAUUUGAUGAAGGAAACAGGCAGCGUGGACAGUAUUCAAGACACAAUGUUUAAAAGUUGCUGCUGGGAUGGAAGCAAAGAAGAAAGCCCUGGAGACGGGUUAGUGCUGGGACACAGGCACUAUCCUGGAGGGGCCUGGGACAGGGUGUUUAACCAUAGUGACCAGUGGGUCCUUUCCCCACUGUGGUCCUGGCUCGCAUGCACAGGGUGAAACCGAUCGCCAUGUCUGGGGUCAGGAAGGAAUUUUCCUCCAGGGCAGAUUGGCCAGAGACCCUGGAGGUUUUUCGCCUUCCUCUGGGGCAUCGAGCAGGGACCAGCCCUUAGGGCCAUUUAGGAACAGACAUAAUAAAAUCAAUCAGAGAGAACUUGUC
This is a long non-coding RNA of Mauremys reevesii (Reeves's turtle), 1058 nucleotides long. RefSeq lists it as uncharacterized. Lineage: Eukaryota; Metazoa; Chordata; Testudines; Geoemydidae. The record is from RefSeq and is a predicted model, not a curated record. The transcript is spliced from 3 exons.